AUUGAACGCUGGCGGAAUGCUUUACACAUGCAAGUCGAACGGUAGAGGGGGCAACCCCUCGAGAGUGGCGAACGGGUGAGUAAUAUAUCGGAACGUGCCCAGUCGUGGGGGAUAACGUAGCGAAAGUUACGCUAAUACCGCAUACGACCUAAGGAAGAAAGCGGGGGAUCGCAAGACCUCGCGCGAAUGGAGCGGCCGAUAUCAGAUUAGGUAGUUGGUGGGGUAAAGGCUCACCAAGCCAACGAUCUGUAGCUGGUCUGAGAGGACGAACAGCCACACUGGAACUGAGACACGGUCCAGACUCCUACGGGAGGCAGCAGUGGGGAAUUUUGGACAAUGGACGCAAGUCUGAUCCAGCCAUUCCGCGUGCAGGAUGAAGGCCCUCGGGUUGUAAACUGCUUUUGUACGGAACGAAAAGGUCUCUCUUAAUACGGGGGACUCAUGACGGUACCGUAAGAAUAAGCACCGGCUAACUACGUGCCAGCAGCCGCCGUAA
This 496-nucleotide ribosomal RNA is filed under the name uncultured bacterium. Its description in RNAcentral is "partial 16S ribosomal RNA". It matches the Rfam family "Bacterial small subunit ribosomal RNA", at positions 30 to 523 of the family's 1533-position model. The record is from RNAcentral.